This 561-nucleotide ribosomal RNA is filed under the name Trichoderma sp. HS-EF17. RNAcentral describes it as "eukaryotic LSU rRNA". The stretch from base 168 to 321 matches the Rfam family "5.8S ribosomal RNA". Lineage: Eukaryota; Fungi; Ascomycota; Sordariomycetes; Hypocreales; Hypocreaceae. The record is from RNAcentral.
CCAACCCAAUGUGACCAUACCAAACUGUUGCCUCGGCGGGGUCACGCCCCGGGUGCGUCGCAGCCCCGGAACCAGGCGCCCGCCGGAGGGACCAACCAAACUCUUUCUGUAGUCCCCUCGCGGACGUUAUUUCUUACAGCUCUGAGCAAAAAUUCAAAAUGAAUCAAAACUUUCAACAACGGAUCUCUUGGUUCUGGCAUCGAUGAAGAACGCAGCGAAAUGCGAUAAGUAAUGUGAAUUGCAGAAUUCAGUGAAUCAUCGAAUCUUUGAACGCACAUUGCGCCCGCCAGUAUUCUGGCGGGCAUGCCUGUCCGAGCGUCAUUUCAACCCUCGAACCCCUCCGGGGGGUCGGCGUUGGGGAUCGGGAACCCCUAAGACGGGAUCCCGGCCCCGAAAUACAGUGGCGGUCUCGCCGCAGCCUCUCCUGCGCAGUAGUUUGCACAACUCGCACCGGGAGCGCGGCGCGUCCACGUCCGUAAAACACCCAACUUCUGAAAUGUUGACCUCGGAUCAGGUAGGAAUACCCGCUGAACUUAAGCAUAUCAUAGGCGGGGGGGAAGA